ACACGGGUUUGGAUUUAUGGCAGGCCUGUCCCCCUGGGUGUUUCAUAGGGCCCACGCCAGGCAGACUCUGGCCUUGAACUCUCAUCUGGCCUCCAUCCGUAGGCCACAGGCACCGAAGCAAAUUACACAGUG
Small nucleolar RNA from Artibeus jamaicensis (Jamaican fruit-eating bat), 132 nucleotides. RefSeq annotates it as small nucleolar RNA SNORA42/SNORA80 family. The transcript has a single exon. The record is from RefSeq and is a predicted model, not a curated record. Lineage: Eukaryota; Metazoa; Chordata; Mammalia; Chiroptera; Phyllostomidae.